This is a long non-coding RNA of Artibeus jamaicensis (Jamaican fruit-eating bat), 471 nucleotides long. RefSeq lists it as uncharacterized. The transcript has 5 exons. Lineage: Eukaryota; Metazoa; Chordata; Mammalia; Chiroptera; Phyllostomidae. The record is from RefSeq and is a predicted model, not a curated record.
UGAAAAUAAAAGGGUUAAAUAUGUUCCCUUUCAGAAUCAAGCUUCCAUGUAUUUCCCUAUCAGUCUCAGAUAGCAGUUUUUAAAGAGUUUCUACUGAGAGCAACAAAAUAUAACAAACUACAAAUGGUUGGAGAUGAUCUGAGAAGUGAUAAGAAGAUAAUUCUGGUUGAGGAUUUACCUAACCAGUUUUAUCGAGAUUCUCAUACUUUACAUUAAGUUCUAAGGACGUAUGUACAGAUCGGUCGAUGUCCCCUGAUAUUUAUAAUCUCUGACAGUCUCAGUGGAGAUAGUAAUCAAAGGUUACUGUUUCCCAAAGAAAUUCAAGAAGAGUGUGCUAUAUCAAACAUUAGUUUCAACCCUGUGGCACCAACAAUUAUGAUGAAAUUUCUGACUCGAAUAGUGACAAUAGAAGCUAAUAAGGUAAGGAAACUGAGCUUUGGUGGAAAUAACUUGCAUAAUAUCCCACAACAG